This 373-nucleotide ribosomal RNA is filed under the name uncultured bacterium. RNAcentral describes it as "bacterial SSU rRNA". It matches the Rfam family "Bacterial small subunit ribosomal RNA", at positions 29 to 414 of the family's 1533-position model. The record is from RNAcentral.
AACGAACGCUGGCGGCAGGCCUAACACAUGCAAGUCGAACGCCGUAGCAAUACGGAGUGGCAGACGGGUGAGUAACGCGUGGGAACAUACCCUUUGGUUCGGAAUAACUCAGGGAAACUUGAGCUAAUACCGGAUACGUCCGAGGUUUUAAUCGGCCUUGGAGAAAGAUUUAUCGCCGGAGGAUUGGCCCGCGUCUGAUUAGCUUGUUGGUGAGGUAAUGGCUCACCAAGGCGACGAUCAGUAGCUGGUCUGAGAGGAUGAUCAGCCACAUUGGGACUGAGACACGGCCCAAACUCCUACGGGAGGCAGCAGGUGGGGAAUAUUGGACAAUGGGCGAAAGCCUGAUCCAGCCAUGCCGCGUGAGUGAUGAAGG